This 253-nucleotide ribosomal RNA is filed under the name uncultured bacterium. Its description in RNAcentral is "partial 16S ribosomal RNA". It matches the Rfam family "Bacterial small subunit ribosomal RNA", at positions 524 to 776 of the family's 1533-position model. The record is from RNAcentral.
UACGUAGGGUGCAAGCGUUGUCCGGAAUUAUUGGGCGUAAAGAGCUCGUAGGCGGUCUGUCGCGUCGGCUGUGAAAUCCCGAGGCUCAACCUCGGGUCUGCAGUCGAUACGGGCAAACUAGAGUAUUGCAGGGGAGACUGGAAUUCCUGGUGUAGCGGUGAAAUGCGCAGAUAUCAGGAAGAACACCCGUGGCUAAGGCGGCUCUCUAGUACGGUACUGACGCUGAGGAGCGAAAGCGUGGGGAGCGAACAGG